RNAcentral lists this ribosomal RNA (490 nucleotides) under uncultured bacterium. RNAcentral describes it as "partial 16S ribosomal RNA". It matches the Rfam family "Bacterial small subunit ribosomal RNA", at positions 30 to 507 of the family's 1533-position model. The record is from RNAcentral.
AUUGAACGCUGGUGGCAGGCUUAACACAUGCAGGUCGAACGGUAACAGGAAUUAGCUUGCUCAUUUGCUGACGAGUGGCGGACGGGUGAGUAAUGCUUGUGAAUCUGGCUUAUGGAGGGGGAUAACUACGGGAAACUGUAGCUAAUACCGCGUAAAAUCUUCGGAUUAAAGGGUGGGACUUUCGAGCCACCUGCCAUAAGAUGAGCCCAAGUGGGAUUAGGUAGUUGGUUAGGUAAAGGCUGACCAAGCCGACGAUCUGUAGCUGGUCUGAGAGGAUGACCAGCCACACUGGAACUGAGACACGGUCCAGACUCCUACGGGAGGCAGCAGUGGGGAAUAUUGCGCAAUGGGGGGAACCCUGAUGCAGCCAUGCCGCGUGAAUGAAGAAGGCCUUCGGGUUGUAAAGUUCUUUCGGUGACGAGGAAGGUUGAUAGGUUAAUCGCCUAUCAAAUUGACGUUAAUCACAGAAGAAGCACCGGCUAACUCCGUG